AUUGAACGCUGGCGGCAUGCCUUACACAUGCAAGUCGAACGGCAGCAUGAUCUAGCUUGCUAGAUUGAUGGCGAGUGGCGAACGGGUGAGUAAUACAUCGGAACGUGCCCUGUAGUGGGGGAUAACUAGUCGAAAGAUUAGCUAAUACCGCAUACGACCUGAGGGUGAAAGUGGGGGACCGCAAGGCCUCAUGCUAUAGGAGCGGCCGAUGUCUGAUUAGCUAGUUGGUGGGGUAAAGGCCCACCAAGGCGACGAUCAGUAGCUGGUCUGAGAGGACGAUCAGCCACACUGGGACUGAGACACGGCCCAGACUCCUACGGGAGGCAGCAGUGGGAAUUUUGGACAAUGGGCGAAAGCCUGAUCCAGCAAUGCCGCGUGUGUGAAGAAGGCC
RNAcentral lists this ribosomal RNA (391 nucleotides) under uncultured bacterium. Its description in RNAcentral is "bacterial SSU rRNA". It matches the Rfam family "Bacterial small subunit ribosomal RNA", at positions 30 to 416 of the family's 1533-position model. The record is from RNAcentral.